Molecule: non-coding RNA, 465 nt
Organism: Alligator sinensis (Chinese alligator)
Lineage: Eukaryota; Metazoa; Chordata; Crocodylia; Alligatoridae
Source: the annotation of a RefSeq genome assembly
AUGCUGUGGCAGACUCAGCUCCUCUGGCUCCUCGUGCUCUGGGCAAAGGAUUCCAGUGUGGACAUCCUCAUCAAUCAGACUCCAGAGUCCCUGGUUGUGUCCCCAGGAGAAACAGUCACCAUCAAGUGCAAAACCAGCUCCAGUGGCAGUGGCAGCAUGCACUUGUACCAGCAGAAACCAGGGCAGGCUCCAAAGCUGCUGCUCUAUGGCACAAACAGCCGUCCCUCCGGGGUCCCCGACCGGUUCAGUGGCAGUGGGUCUGGCACCGACUUCACUUUCACCAUCAGCCGGGUAGAAGCUGGGGAUGCUGGAGAUUAUUACUGUCAGCAGAACUGGGAUUCCCCUCGGCACAUCUACAAAUUCUAUCACUACUCCGCACACCUUGAGCGCCUCCUCUCCAAGCAGGCUGGCCUGGCACCAGCCCAGCCAAGACAAGCUCCUGCCCUUGUCAUUCCAGGCUCCUGA